Molecule: ribosomal RNA, 433 nt
Filed under: uncultured bacterium
Lineage: Bacteria
Description: partial 16S ribosomal RNA
Rfam family: Bacterial small subunit ribosomal RNA
Source: RNAcentral
AACGAACGCUGGCGGCAUGCCUAACACAUGCAAGUCGAACGAGACCUUCGGGUCUAGUGGCGCACGGGUGCGUAACGCGUGGGAACCUGCCCUUAGGUUCGGAAUAACUCCCCGAAAGGGGUGCUAAUACCGGAUAAUGUCUUCGGACCAAAGAUUUAUCGCCUUUGGAUGGGCCCGCGUUGGAUUAGCUAGUUGGUAGGGUAAAAGCCUACCAAGGCGACGAUCCAUAGCUGGUCUGAGAGGAUGAUCAACCACACUGGGACUGAGACACGGCCCAGACUCCUACGGGAGGCAGCAGUGGGGAAUAUUGGACAAUGGGCGAAAGCCUGAUCCAGCAAUGCCGCGUGAGUGAUGAAGGCCUUAGGGUUGUAAAGCUCUUUUACCCGGGAUGAUAAUGACAGUACCGGGUGAAUAAGCUCCGGCUAACUCCGUG